Molecule: ribosomal RNA, 458 nt
Filed under: uncultured bacterium
Lineage: Bacteria
Description: partial 16S ribosomal RNA
Rfam family: Bacterial small subunit ribosomal RNA
Source: RNAcentral
CCUACGGGAGGCAGCAGUGAGGAAUAUUGGUCAAUGGGCGAGAGCCUGAACCAGCCAAGUCGCGUGAGGGAGUACUGCCCUAUGGGUUGUAAACCUCUUUUGUCGGGGAGCAAAAGCCGGACGUGUCCGGCUGUGAGAGUACCCGAAGAAAAAGCAUCGGCUAACUCCGUGCCAGCAGCCGCGGUAAUACGGAGGAUGCGAGCGUUAUCCGGAUUUAUUGGGUUUAAAGGGUGCGCAGGCGGAUUUGUAAGUCAGCGGUAAAAUCGUGGGGCUCAACCCCAUCCAGCCGUUGAAACUGGGGAUCUAGAGUGUGCGAGAGGUAUGCGGAAUGCGUGGUGUAGCGGUGAAAUGCAUAGAUAUCACGCAGAACCCCGAUUGCGAAGGCAGCAUACCGGUGCACAACUGACGCUCAGGCACGAAAGCGUGGGUAUCGAACAGGAUUAGAUACCCCUGUAGUC